Molecule: ribosomal RNA, 610 nt
Filed under: uncultured bacterium
Lineage: Bacteria
Description: bacterial SSU rRNA
Rfam family: Bacterial small subunit ribosomal RNA
Source: RNAcentral
CCUACGGGAGGCAGCAGUGGGGAAUAUUGCGCAAUGGACGAAAGUCUGACGCAGCGACGCCGCGUGUGGGAUGAAGCUCUUCGGGGUGUAAACCACUGUUGCCCGGGAAGAAACUCCUGAUUCGUCAGGACUGACGGUACCGGGUGAGGAAGCACCGGCUAACUCUGUGCCAGCAGCCGCGGUAAUACAGAGGGUGCGAGCGUUGUCCGGAAUCACUGGGCGUAAAGGGCGCGUAGGUGGCGGGAUAAGUGUGUGGUGAAAGCUCGGGGCUCAACCCCGAGUCUGCCAUGCAGACUGUCUUGCUCGAGCGUAGUAGAGGCAGGUGGAAUUCCGGGUGUAGCGGUGGAAUGCGUAGAGAUCCGGAAGAACACCGGUGGCGAAGGCGGCCUGCUGGGCUACUGCUGACACUGAGGCGCGACAGCGUGGGGAGCAAACAGGAUUAGAUACCCUGGUAGUCCACGCCGUAAACGAUGGGUACUAGGUGUCUGGGGGAACGACCCCCGUGGGUGCCGGCGCUAACGCAUGAAGUACCCCGCCUGGGGAGUACGGCCGCAAGGCUGAACUUAAGGAAUUGACGGCUGAGAGNGCGAGACGACGACGAGGGAGGAGG